This 20-nucleotide small nuclear RNA is filed under the name Arabidopsis thaliana (thale cress). Its description in RNAcentral is "snRNA_01606". The record is from RNAcentral. Lineage: Eukaryota; Viridiplantae; Streptophyta; Magnoliopsida; Brassicales; Brassicaceae.
UACUAGUCAAUUCUGAGGGA